Molecule: long non-coding RNA, 2173 nt
Filed under: Equus asinus (donkey)
Lineage: Eukaryota; Metazoa; Chordata; Mammalia; Perissodactyla; Equidae
Description: lncRNA (ENSEASG00005025086.1)
Source: RNAcentral
CCAUGAUGUGAAAACUGAAGCUGGAGGGAGCUGUUGAUACAACUGGAACCCCUGUUGACAAGGAAGAAGCAGAAGGGCUAUGGUGUCUGAUGUCUUCAGUAACUGUGUUCGAGGACACACUUGACAAGUGCUUUCAAGUCUGCUAACUGGAUUGUUUUGGAAAAUCUCAGCUUAACUCUUAAAAUCUUAUCUGCUUAAUUGCAACUGUGUCGAUAUUUUAAAUGGGUGUUUGUAUUAUGUAAGGACCAGAACCUUUGGAAACCCUGCCAUUAAGGUAAUACCAGAGAAGGAGAGAGAAAAAGAGACAGAGAGACAGAGACAAGAGAGGUGUGUGGCUGAAGAUUGGUAGAGCAAGAAAACAGCUCCAACAGGGCCUGGUUGUAACAGAAUGGCCUCCUGUAUGCUUUAAUGGGAAUUACCGGGAUAGACACACGCCCUAGACAAACACUUUCCCCACAAUGGAAUCCCUGCCAAGAAGACAGCUCCACGGCCAGCACCAGCACCCCAGCACCCCCACCUCUUCAUCCUUGGAGUAAGAAAACCCAGACAUCUAUCUGGACCUGAAACUGCCUUUGCUUGAGAAAGCAUGAACCUCUGAGACAAGAGAGGAAAUGCUGUAGACAAUAGCAGAAGUUGUGCAGUCCACAAAUGCUCAGCUCUUCACCACACCCAUUGGUGGAAUUUGUUACCAGUAAACACUCAUUGCUCUAAGCACCAUUAUUUAUUAGAGAUGAAAGAAAAAAUCGUCUGCUUUUAAAGUCAGCUUAGCUCCAAAUAUAAUACAUAGGAAAAUUGGAUAUUUUUGCUUUUCUGAGCUAGAAACUAGUCAGGGAAACCCUUUGCUACCUAAAGAUUGCUCUUUUCUGUGUACCUUGAGCACAAUUUCUUCCUUGAAGCUCCAAGAUGGGCAUUAUUUCAAAUCGGAUUGUAAAGUAAUCAGGGCAGGGAACACGAUGGAAACUCAUGGAACACUGUUUGGAAAUCUUACCACAAUUCUUUAGGAGUUAUACCUAUAAAUGAAAUCUCAAUGUUUAGUCUUAAACUUACUAAGCAACAAGAAAUGUUUAACAUCUAACCUAGGUAAAAGAAUGAUGAAAAGAAUAAUAAAGAAUAAAGAAAAAGAACAGUGAGAGUACCAGCCACAUUCCACAUCCUGAAGAGGUUCCUUCAGUCUUACCCAGCCUGUCUCCUCAUAAGUGAAGCUGCUAUAAUUCUCAGAACUUCAGAAAUCUCUCAGGCUCUUCUCCUUCCUUUCAGGGUAUCUCUUGACUCAAUUCAGUAGCUGCAUAUCUGCCUCUCUCUGACUCUUGUCUGGUGAUGAGCAGAGUAUUCCGCCUUCUCGGCUAUCAAACAUUACUCACUUCAGGAGGCUGUGGGCUCCCCUGGGUUCAUGUUCUGCAGCCUAGAGGCCAAAUAAUGCCCCUCCCAUCACCCUGGAACCUGGUGCAUUACCUAUGCUUCCACCUAUUUGGAAGAAAAAGUCAGAUCUUGUCCUUACUGCUUACUCCUUACUUAAGCCCUCUGAGUUUCAGUUUUCUCUUCUAUAAAAUGGGCUAGACCUAGCCAUGCCAAAUGGUUGCUAGGUUUAGAAAUACUUCAUGUGGAACCCCCGGAACAAGGUUUAAAAUGUAUUAGGUACUCCAUAAACAGUAAUAAAAAUAACAGAAAGAAUAAUAAUGACAAUAAUAAAUUAGAAGUAAACAAUUCCGCAUUAUGAAACAAGCACUAACUCCAUAAACAAAAAACUGGUCACCUAUUGGAAUAUAUGAGAUGAUAGAAGUCAUAGGAGCCAGAAAAUUUUUAAAUAUUCAACCAAAUCCUUACAAAUAUCCCAUGAGGUAGUAUGAUCAGCAUUUUCCACAUGAGGAAACUGAGGCAUGGAAGGACUAAAUAAUUCACCCAACGCCCUAACCCUUUUUUGACCCCAGUUUGCUCUGACCCUGAAACCCAUGCUUUUAUUUCACCAUUCUAUUCCUUUUAGACUGAGAAAUCUGUCUUCAUCUCAGUACUGGAGAAGUAGACGAAGGGCUUCUGCUAUUGAAAGUCAUCCUGAUUCAGUUUGAAGUGCCCUAGAGAGAGUUUCCAAGGUUCAGCAUCUCAUACAAGGACUCCACAAUCCUUCCCCUCCAGAAUCCACUCGUUAAAAUCAUGAUGGAGUCCACCUUGGUCUUUG